GAGGAAUAAGUCAAGAGAGAGGGAAACGCCUCCAAAUUAAUUGUUGUGGGAAGAGACAUACAGGAAGCUGGGAAGGACUCUUGAAGUCAUAGCUGCUGCAUUCCAUCCCCGCAUGUUCAGCAUUCAGACUAGUCCAAAGAUGAAUGCCACAUUUCUGUAUAUCCACUCGUUCUUUUUCUCAAAGGCUCAUGGGCAGCUCUUCUAUUUCUGAAUAACAUUAUCGUGAAGAUUUAUAUUAUGUAAUAGCAUGAAAUCCAGAAUAAAGAAUGACAAACUUGUUUGAAAACAGUUUUAGUAACUCAAAUUGCAGGUCAACUUUCCAAAACUAAAAGUUAUGGUACACCUGCAUAUUCUACUUUUUGUCUCACUUUCGUAUACUCAUUUCUAAUGUUUUUAGUUAAUAUUAUUCAUAUUUAGAGCACUGUAAUUCAUUACAGCAUUACUCAGUUAUUGGAUUUUGUAGUUUGAAUAAGAAAUAAAGUUUUAUUUUAUGAGUCAUUUUAUAUAAACAAACAAUCAUUUUGUUGAGCAAGGAUGUUUCAUUUCAUGAUGAUGGUAAAGAAUUUGGGGAUUAACUAGAUGAUAGAUGUAGAAGUUAAUAGGUCAUGACAGAGCUGAGGCAUAAUCUUUUUAAUCUUUUAUGAAUAUACUUAUAUACUGCGUGCUACGUAAAUACUAAGUAGCCAUUAUCUUUAGAUACUUAUAAAUCUCCCAGAUGUUUAAAAGCACAAGAAUUAAUAUAUGUAUAAGCCAUCCAUACAUUUUUGUUCUUUGACUUAUUUUUUAUAAGAAGCAAUAUUAUGUUUCAGAAGAAUCUCUCCAACUAACAAGCAGUGCACCAAACACUUAUUGAACUAAUUAUUAGAGUGUCUGCUUAGCAGAUUAUCCACAGGGCAUAAAAUCUGAAUUCUCUUUCUA
Molecule: long non-coding RNA, 918 nt
Filed under: Aotus nancymaae (Ma's night monkey)
Lineage: Eukaryota; Metazoa; Chordata; Mammalia; Primates; Aotidae
Description: lncRNA (ENSANAG00000038637.1)
Source: RNAcentral